This 199-nucleotide ribosomal RNA is filed under the name uncultured bacterium. RNAcentral describes it as "partial 16S ribosomal RNA". It matches the Rfam family "Bacterial small subunit ribosomal RNA", at positions 328 to 539 of the family's 1533-position model. The record is from RNAcentral.
ACGCUCGACACCACAGGAGGCAGCAGUGGGGAAUAUUGGGCAAUGGGCGCAAGCCUGACCCAGCAACGCCGCGUGAAGGAAGAAGGCUUUCGGGUUGUAAACUUCUUUUCUUGAGGACGAAGAAGUGACGGUACUCAAGGAAUAAGCUCCGGCUAACUACGUGCCAACAGCCGCGGUAAUCUGAGCGGGCUGGCAAGGC